AAAUUGAAGAGUUUGAUCAUGGCUCAGAUUGAACGCUGGCGGCAGGCCUAACACAUGCAAGUCGAACGGUAACAGGAAGCAGCUUGCUGCUUCGCUGACGAGUGGCGGACGGGUGAGUAAUGUCUGGGAAACUGCCUGAUGGAGGGGGAUAACUACUGGAAACGGUAGCUAACCGUAGGGGAACCUGCGGUUGGAUCACCUCCUUACCUUAAAGAACCUGCCCUGCAGUGCUCACACAGAUUGUCUGAUGAAAAACGAGCAGUAAAAACCUCUACAGGCUUGUAGCUCAGGUGGUUAGAGCGCACCCCUGAUAAGGGUGAGGUCGGUGGUUCAAGUCCACUCAGGCCUACCAAAUUU
Molecule: ribosomal RNA, 357 nt
Filed under: Pseudenterobacter timonensis
Lineage: Bacteria; Pseudomonadati; Pseudomonadota; Gammaproteobacteria; Enterobacterales; Enterobacteriaceae
Description: partial 16S ribosomal RNA
Rfam family: Bacterial small subunit ribosomal RNA
Source: RNAcentral